UGAAUCUUUUAAUAACUUCCUUAUAUACAUCUUGUUCCCUUAAAGCCCCAAACUUGGCUUUGUCAGCUCUCUUUCUUCAUCAUCUUUAGGAUAUGUUCAUGUGUGGAUGCGAUGGAACUGAGGUCACUAGGUUCAUGCUACCUGGAGCAUGAGGCUGACAAAUAGAGAAGCACUGAGUCAAAUGAAUCUUGGAAAAAUGGAGCUAGAAGAAAACCAGAGUCUAUCUGUUCUACUGGUUGUAUUCUCCUUGAAGGCAGAAAUGAUGUCUGAUUGAUUUCUGAGGAGCAUGAAAGAA
Molecule: long non-coding RNA, 295 nt
Filed under: Piliocolobus tephrosceles (Ugandan red Colobus)
Lineage: Eukaryota; Metazoa; Chordata; Mammalia; Primates; Cercopithecidae
Description: lncRNA (ENSPTEG00000017130.1)
Source: RNAcentral